AUACCCUGGUAGUCCACGCCGUAAACGAUGAGUGUUAAGUGUUAGAGGGUUUCCGCCCCUUAGUGUUGCAGAUAAAGCACUAAGCACUCUGCCUGGGGAGUACGGCCGCAAGGGUGAAAAUCAAAGGAAUUGACGGGGGGCCGCACAAGCGGUGGAGCAUGUGGUUUAAUUUGAAGCAACGCGAAGAACCUUACCAGGUCUUGACAUCUUCUGACAACCCUAGAGAUAGGGCUUUUCCCUUUGGGGGACAGAGUGACAGGUGGUGCAUGGUUGUCGUCAGCUCGUGUCGUGAGAUGUUGGGUUAAGUCCCGCAACGAGCGCAACCCUUGAUCUUAGUUGCCAGCAUUCAGUUGGGCACUCUAAGGUGACUGCCGGUGACAAACCGGAGGAAGGUGGGGAUGACGUCAAAUCAUCAUGCCCCUUAUGACCUGGGCUACACACGUGCUACAAUGGAUGGUACAAAGGGCUGCAAACCUGCGAAGGUAAGCGAAUCCCAUAAAGCCAUUCUCAGUUCGGAUUGCAGGCUGCAACUCGCCUGCAUGAAGCCGGAAUCGCUAGUAAUCGCGGAUCAGCAUGCCGCGGUGAAUACGUUCCCGGGCCUUGUACACACCGCCCGUCACACCACGAGAGUUUGUAACACCCGAAGUCGGUAUGGUUUAU
RNAcentral lists this ribosomal RNA (660 nucleotides) under Bacillus sp. hya. RNAcentral describes it as "bacterial SSU rRNA". It matches the Rfam family "Bacterial small subunit ribosomal RNA", at positions 782 to 1440 of the family's 1533-position model. The record is from RNAcentral. Lineage: Bacteria; Bacillati; Bacillota; Bacilli; Caryophanales; Bacillaceae.